Molecule: transfer RNA, 84 nt
Filed under: Desulfovibrio sp.
Lineage: Bacteria; Pseudomonadati; Thermodesulfobacteriota; Desulfovibrionia; Desulfovibrionales; Desulfovibrionaceae
Description: tRNA-Leu
Rfam family: tRNA
About the family: Transfer RNA (tRNA) molecules are approximately 80 nucleotides in length.
Source: RNAcentral
GGCCGGGUGGCGAAAAGGUAUACGCACCGCACUCAAAAUGCGGCGCCGCGAGGCAUGAGAGUUCGAAUCUCUCCCCGGCUACCA